This 11900-nucleotide long non-coding RNA is filed under the name Equus caballus (horse). Its description in RNAcentral is "lncRNA (ENSECAG00000039741.3)". Lineage: Eukaryota; Metazoa; Chordata; Mammalia; Perissodactyla; Equidae. The record is from RNAcentral.
UUUUAUUUUGAGAUAGUUCACAGGGAGUUGUAAGAAAUCAUACAGAAAGAUCCCGUGUACCUUUCACCCAGUUUCCCCCGUUGGUAACGUCUUGCAAAACUACUGCGCAGUGUGUGUGGGGGUGUUGACACUGAUGUGGUCAAAACAGAACCAGCACCACGAGGCUCCCUCCUGCUUUCUUUUAACAAACAAAUUUGAUGUAUUUUAAAAAUUGCGAUGAAAUAUAUAUUACGUAAGAUUUACCAUUUAACCAUUUGUAAGUGUACAACUCAGUGGCCUUAAGCACAUUCGCGUUAAUGUGCAACCAUCACCACCAUCCGUCUCCAGAACUUUUAUGUCAUCUCAGUAGGAACUCUGUCCCCAUUGAGCGCUAACUCCUCAUCUCGCUCCCCCAGCCCCUGAACCUCUGUCCUACUUUCUGCCCCCUGACUCCUCGAGGGACCCGAGCUCCCUUCUGGGGAAAUGGUGGGGUACGUGGGGCUGGCCUGGUGGCCCGGCCGUCACCAGCAAUGACUGUUAAUAUGGCUCUUGAUCAGCCUUUUUCUUGUAAAAGUGACACGUGAUGUUACAAAAACUCACGCAGUGCGGAACAGACCACAGCAGAAAGUGGAAGUUUGUUGUUGGCGAGAGCUCUCCCCACCCACCCUGAGGCACAGGCACCCGGAAUUUUUCGGGACACAGAGAAACAUACACACGCAGACAUGCUUUUUUUUUUUUUUUUUUUUUAACGCAUCACAGGUUGAGCUUCUCUGUCCCCUUUCAAGCCUCUCUGCCUCCCUGCCCUCAGGGCUGGGGUGGGAGUGGGUGUGGACGCAGUUGGUGGUGUGGGGGUCCCAGAUCUUUUAGCAAAUCACCUUACCAGAGCUGUCUCCCGGGGGUCAACAUUAGCGAGAGAAAGAGCACUGGGUUCGUCUUGUGGCUGCUUCACCUGGAGAACCCCAACAGCGGCCAGCACCUUGCAGCCACCACCACGCCGCACCUGCGCCCCGAGAAGUUGGGACGCUGCCCCAUCACAGUGAGAGGACACACCUGCGGGGACCGGGGGCCUUCGUGAGACGUGUUGGGCAGGAAUGGUGGCAUCUAGGGGGUGCUGGGUGAUUUUGGUCGUGCUGGAUUGAGUGCUGGAGGAGCGGGUGCUCCACGAUGGGGAUCUGAAUGCAUCCUGUCGAGGAUGUAAGCAGAAGGGCAUGGCUGACAUUGUGUGGGUGGUGAGGGAGGGAGCAGCAGUCACCCGUAUUUGCCAGGGCGGCGGUAUUUGGUUGUUUUUGUGGCGUGACAGUGACUGUUUGUCUGAGUUCAUACCUGUCUGUGUAUCCUUGUCGAUGUUGACGUGCCAUGACAUUAAUUUACCUGGAGAACACCAAGGCCGGCUGAUAGCGCCAGGCCAGCUCUAGGCUGUCGAGGGCUUUCCUCUACCUCGCAUCUGCCCAGUGGGUCUGUUCCGAGUGCCCACUCUGUGCCAGGUGUUGGGGACGUAGCUGUGAGUGGCGGAGAAACCUCCCUGUCCUUGGGAACUCGCGUUCUUGUUGGAGACUCUUUGCACUGAAUUGUGUCCCCCAAAUUCAUAUAUUGAAGACCUGACCCCCAGGGUGACCGAAUUUGGAGGCAGGGCUGUCAGGAGGUCGUUACGGUUAAAUGAGGUCGUAAGCCUGGGGCCCUGACCCGGUAGGACUUCAGAAGAGAAAGAGACAUCAGGAAUGCUGGUGCACAGAGAAAAGGCCGCGUGAGGACACUGGGAGAAGGUGGCCAUCUGCGGGCCAAGGAGGGAGGCCUCAGGAGACCAGCCAGCCUGCACCUUGAUCUCAGCCUUCCAGCCUCCAACUGAGAGAAGUAAAUUUCUGUUGUUUAGGCCACCCAGGCCAGGGGACAUUGGCAUGGCAGCCCUCUGUGACCCACACGAGCCCCUUCCAGGCAGUCCCCACCCCUGGUCCAGGCAUGUGUGACCUGCUUUCUCUGCCUCUGCCUUGCACCUGCCUGUUCCAGACUUUCACAUCAACGCAGUCACACUCUGUCGCUCCUUGGGGUCCGGCCUCUUCACUCAGCAUAAUGACCGCGAGGUCCCUCCAUGACGCUGUGUAUCAAUAUCACUCUUUCUUAUCACUGAGUUGUAUCCCGUUUUAUGACUAUGCCACCAUAUGUGUAUCCAUUCACCUGUUCAUGGUGUCUGGGUGGCUGCCGGUUCUUGGUUAAUGUGCGUAAAGCUGCUAUGAAAGUCUGUAAACAGCUUUUGGUGUGGACGUAUAUUUUCCUUUGUCUAGGUUAUUUACCUAGGAGUGGAAUGGCUGGGUCAGAUGGAAAGCGUGUGGUUAACUUUGUAAGCGUUUGCCAAACCGUCAUCCAAAGUGGUCGUACCACUUUCCAUUCCCACCAGCAGUGUCAACAGAUCCAGUAACGCCAUAUCCUCGUCAAUACCUGAUAUGGUCAGACUUUACCCUUAGCCACUCUGAUAGCUGUGAAGUGGUAUCUCCUUGUCAUUUUAAUUUGCAUUUCCCUGUUGACUAAUGAUGCUGAGCAUCUUUGCAUGUGCCGUCUGUGUGUCUUCUUUGGGGAAGGAUCUGUUCAAAAAUCUUGACCAUUAAAAGAAUAUUGAGUUGUUUGUCUUCUUAUUGAGUUGUAAGAAAUUUUUAAAAAAUAUAUCUUUUGGGCAAGACAUGUGUGUUGUGGAUAUUUUCCCCAGCAGGUGGUUUGCCUUCUCAUUUCCUUAAUAUCAAACUUUGAAGAGCAAAGUCUUUAAUUUGGAUGAAGUCCAAUUUAUCUGUUUUUCUGUGAUGGUUUAUGUCUUUCAUGUCCUCUCUAAGAAAUCUUUGCCCACUUCAAGGUCACAAAGAUUUUCUCCUAUGUUUUCUACCAGAAGUUUAAUAAUUUUAGCUUUUACAUUUAGGCCUAUGGUCCCUUUGGGCUACUUUUUGCUCGUGGUGAGGGUAAAGGCUGAGCUUCAUUUUUGCCGCCUUGAUUCUCCCUGUUCCAGCAACUGUUGCCUACAAAGAUUACCUUUCCCCUGUGGGAUUACUGUGGCGCCUCCGACAACACUCUGGUGAUCGCACACGAGCGGGUCUGUUUGUGGACUCCGUCUCUUCCGUCUCGUCGACCGGUUGGUACUCCUCCUGCCUACACCAUCUGGGCUGGAUCCACGAGGCUUACAGCUCACGUCCUUCAGCCCUGCUCUUCCUUUUCAAAAUUGUUUUGGCCACGAUAACUCCUUUCUGUUUUCACAUGAGUGUAAAAAAUCAGCGUAUCAAUUUCCACAAACAAGCCUGCUGCAGUUUGAUUGGGACUACAUUGAUCUCUGGUUACUUGGGGGAGAACUGACAUCUUGCCGAAACCCAGUCUUCCACUUUGUGAGCAUCGUACCUUUCCAUUUACGGCGUCCUCUGUCCCCUCCCUCGGCAGGGCCUGCACAGGCCUGCACACAUUCUGUUGAAUUUGUCCCAGAUGCUUCAUGUUUUUAAUGUGAGUGUGUUCUUGCUCUUUUAAAUUUCAAAAACCCAUCUGUAUUUUCUAAACUGUUGGCCUUGUGUCCUGUGACGUCACUAAAUAAGCUGUGUAGGCCACUUAGCCUUUCUGUAGACAUUGUAGAACUUUUAUAUAUGUGGUCACGUUGUCUGCGAAGAAGCAAUGUUUCCCUUCCGCUCCCAUCGCCGCGCCUUCUCUUUCUUUUUCUUGCCGCGUUGCCCUUUCUGAGACUCCAGUGCAGUGUUGUGCAGAAGGGGAUGAGUGGGCGUCCCUGCCUCGUCCUGUUCUUGGGUGAAAGCAUGCCGUCUUCACCAUCGACUGAGACGUUGGCUGUGGGAGUCUCUCAGCUGCCUCUGCAGAUUUGGGGGCUCUGUUUCUGCACAGCCCCCGGCCUCUAGAACCCUGCAAUCUCCAAUCGCUGUCCUCUUCUUUUGGCUGCUGUCUCUUUCUGUGUACAGUAUCCUUUGCACGUCAGCCUACAGUUUUGGUUUUGCAUGCAGUAAGACAAUGUCUGCAUUUAACUGGAGGAUUGAGACCAUUUCCAUUCCAUGUAGUUUCCUGUGUGGUUGGGUUUGGGUCCAUAUUUUGAUAAUUAUUUGCUGUUCUUUGUUUCUUGUUUCCUCCUUUAUGCCUUCUUCUUGACGAAUUGAGUGUUUUUUGGGUAUUUCAUUCAUCUGCACUGUGGGCUUAUUUGCUACACAUCUUCAUUUUAUUUAUCAGCGGCUGCUCUAGGGCUUACAAUAUGCACCUGUCCUCACCUCCCACUAUCACCCGCUUGACAGACCAUGAAAAGCACCUUACACAGUCCACUCACGUUUCCCUGCCCCAGGCUUCUUGCUCUUAUUGUCAUGGAUUUUACUUCCACGUGCUGUGACCAUGACAGCACAUUGUUAUUUUUCUUUAAGCUUUCUAUUAUUUUUAAAAGAAAUUUUAAAAAUGAGAAAAAGAUGUCUCAUGUUUACUGACAUAUUUACCAUUUCUUUCACUCUCCAUUCCUUUGAGUAGAGAUGCGUUUUCAUUGGGUACCGACUUCCUUGUCUUUGAAGAAAGUCCUUUCACAUUUCUUGUAAUGAAAGUCUGCUGGUGAUGGACGACCGGAGCUUUUAUAGAAAUCAUGAAAUGGAAGUCCUCAGUCUUUGUUGUGCUUCCAUUUUGGGCAAAUACCUUCACUGUGUAUGGAAGUCUAAGUUGAGAUGUUCUCCAGCGUGUUCUAGAUGUUUCUAUCGUCCCUGACUUGCACUGUUUCUGGUGAGAAUUCAGCCGUGCCCCUUAUCUCUGCUUCUCUGGAUGUGACGGUGUUCGCUGAGACUGAUUUGGGGUUUUUCCCUUUAUCCCUGUUUUUCAGGAAUUUGAUUGUGAUUUUCCUUGUUAUAUGUUCUUUCUUGUUUAUCCUUCCUGGGGUUUGUAGGCAUUCUUUUGUUUGUAGGUUUAUACUUUUUCUUUAAUUUUUCUGUUCUUGCCUCUCUCUUGUUUUGUAAGACUCCACUUAUAUUGAUGUUAGACAGCUUGAUAUUUUCCAGGCAUCACUGAGGCCCUGUUUUUUUUUCCCUUUUCUUUUUUUCUCUUUGUACCUCAUUUUGGAUAGUUUCUAUUACUAUAGCUUCAAGUUCAUGGAUAUCAUCUUGAAGUGUCCAGCCUGUGUUAACCCUACUUUUAUGGGCCAAAUUGCGUCCCCCCAAAUUCGUAUGUUCAAACCCUAACCCCCAAUACCUUGGAAUGUGGCUAUAUUUGGAGAUAGGGCCUUAAAGGUGGUAAUUAAGGGUAACUGAGGCCAUCUGGGUGGGCUUUAAUCCAAUCUGAGAGCAGGCCUAUGGAGAAUAGGAAAUUUGGACACCCAAAGAGACCCCAGGGAUGCGCAUGCACAGAGAAAGGACCAUGUGGGGACAUGGUGAGAAGGAGGCCGUCUACAAGGCAAGCCGAGAGGUCUCAGGGAGACCAGCCCCACCACAGCUUGCUCGUGGACUCCAGCCUCCAGCCUGCGAGGCGAUAAAUUCCUGCUGUUUACCCAGGAUACUGCGGUAUUCGUUAUGGCCACCCGAGCCGGCUAACACACCUGCCCAGCUCAUUCUUCACUGGAGAUUUUAUAAAGUUCCAUUUGGUUCUUUCUAUAUCUUCCAUUUCCCUCUUUAUGUUUACAUUUCCCUUUAAAAAUGUUUGAAAGACUGUCUUAGGGUGUUGUCUGGUAAUUCCAUCAUUGCGGUCAUCUUUGGGUCUAUUUCUCCUGAUUCACGUUUUUGCUGGUCACAUUUUCCUGCUUCUUGGCAUGUGGGUAAUUUUUGCUGGGAUGCUGGGCAUGGUGUUUUUACUUUCUUUAUGAUCUGGAAUUUUCUCUUUUACUUUCAGUCCUCCUGGAGAGAGGGCUGUGCGUGUCCGGCCUGUGCUCAGUGACUUGGGCUUCGCUUUGAUCUUGGGUGGGACUCUGAGCUUAGUUACACUAGGGCUAGAGCAGCCUUACUCCAGGCCGGUUCAGCCCUGGGGAGGCGCGGCCUAUGGGGUCUCUCCUGCAGGCCAAAGGGACCAUUGAGGACAGUCAAGUCCAGCUGGUCAGCACUCCAAUGUCCCCUCACCCUGUGUGAGCUCUGGAGUCACUCGGUGCACAGCUCCUAGUGGCUCACUGUGCCGUACUGUGGAGUUUUAUCCGUGACACACACGGCAGGUUCUUGAGCCAAUGCUAAGGGGACCUUGCCGAUGGCUGUAGCUUUUGUCUGUGCAGCUCCCUCCUUUCGGGAGCUCUGCUUGCGUGUCCACCAGCUUCAGCCGUCCUGAGGCCUGAUCCCUUUCUUCUUAACUCAGCAGGACUGCCCUGGUCUGCUGGGGAUCCCAGUUCCUUUUGCCUAGUUUCUGAACACAGCUGAUUCACGGUUUUCAGUUUCUUGCUUUGGGGGCAGAGGGUAAGUCCAGGCUGUGUUACUCCAUCACGGCAGCAGGCAAGAGGGACAGUUCCCCUUCGACGGCACUUAGGUUAUUUCCAAUGUUCUCUGGCACCUUCAAAGGCUGAUGUCCUCUCCUGUACGUCCACCUCUUCCCGUUGGAAUGAGAAUACUUACUUCCAGGGUGGAAUUCAUACACGACAUUGCCUGAUCAAAGGGUGCAAUGGUCUAAGACAUUUAACAUUUACUCCCAAACUGCCUUCCAGAGUGGCUGGCCCACUGCAUAGUCACUCCGUGCUCCAUGGAGUUCACCAUCCUCAGUCCUGCUGGCUUCCCCUGGGCCCAGUCUUGACCUGUAAACACCUCUAUGAGGAACUUUCUCUUCCCUGUCACCAGUGAGUCUGCACAUCUUGUCUUCCUCUUUCUUGGGCUGCUCUGCCCUUUCCUCUUUCUUCUCUUUCCCAGCCGUCCAUCCUCACCUUCUCCUGCUCUUGGCCAAUGGUCCCCGGGCCCAGCUGCCCAACGUGGAGCCAGGAGGCCCCCGAUGCUCCCAAAGGCCCCCUGGGUGCUGGUCCCAUUCCGAGGGCUGGGAUUGUCCAUUUGCUUGUUGAACCAGGGGCAGGAGGAGCCCUCCACCUUCAACAUUUCCCAGAAGUCUCUCUUGGAGCUGAAACCAGGGAGGCAGCAUUGAAUCAUUGCCAAGUGGCCGGAGCCACUUGUUUGGUCCAACCCUCCUUUGCUCCUUCUGGAGAGGUGGCCUCCCUUGGCCUGGCCCCAGCUCUCCGCCUGGUCUCCUGACCUGUAAAGCCGUGGUCCCUAGGGCCCUGACCGUCUAUUCACACAGCGUAACUGUGAGGGUUAGGAUGGCAGGAGGGCCUGUAGGUGAGGUGAGGGCCAGACACCAGGGAGCACGGCACAGGUAUGAGCUGAGAUUGUUUCUGAGGACAGGAGAGACAUCAGGAUGACCUCCCAGGAUGAGCCGGCAGAGGGAAUGGCCUGCGUGGGGCUCUGGGAUGGAAGGAGCUGGAAUAAGCAGGGACGCAAAGGGGUUGGUGUGGCUGUAGCAAAGGGAGACAUGAGUUGGAGAGGCAAGUCUGGGCGCCCACAGCACCCCCAGUUCUGCUCCCAGGACAAGCCUGGAUUUGAGCAGGCACCUGGGCCUCUGGGAAGUCCCUGGUGGCCCAAGCACACUCUGCCCCUCCUCUGACCCCUGUCCCAACCCCCAGUUCUCUCCCGUCUGUCCCAGGCAUGAGGCUGAGGAGUUGCCGUCCUCUCCGUCCACCUCUACCCGCACCCUGAGAGUCGGACACCGACUCCUGCAGGCCCUGCGCCUCUGGGCGUCCCUGGAGUUGACCUCUCUCCACGCCCUUCUGCCCUCCCUGCCCUGCUCCUCACCUCCCAGAGGCUCCCACCUGGGAGACAUCACGCCCCUGUCUACUCCGUCCACCCUCCCCACCAGCCUGACACCUGCACAGUCUCCCGUGCACAGGACGCACCCGGGGUCUGCAGCCUCCCUCAAGGGGCCAGCCUCGGCCAGCUCUGUGUCGAGGCCCCCUUCCAUGCCUCACCAGGGCUGGACCCCAAGAACUUCCCGGCCAUAUUGUUCAACCCACAUCUUUCCUCCGGGAAUGCCCUUUCUCACCUUGUCCCCCAGCAGGACUCCUGUUCAUCUUCAGAGCCCCAGCCCACAUCUGCUGCCCAUACCCAGCCCUCACCACAUGACGCUGACAGUGGCUUUUAGACUCAGCUCCCUCACUGGACCAUGAGCCCCAGGGGGUGAGGCCCAGGCUGCUUUGCCUCUGAGCCCACUUCCCAGCCCGGGGCUCCCACAGAGCAGGGGGCUGAGGCCACCAAGAAUGCAGAGGAGAGGAGGGGGGGCCUCAAGGUGGGCUUUCAGGACGACCCUGCCUCCCACCCUCCAGGCCUGGGCUCAAGCACCCUGGUUCUCAGCAUCUCUCCCAUGCUCGGGACCCCAGAGAUCUCCCUCUCAAGAAGAGGAGGAAAUGUGAUCAGGGAUUCCUCAGCCCAUCGGGAGGUGUCCUGGCCGGGAGCUCCGGGUGUCGGCGAUGUGGUGGGGUGGGCAGCCCCUGGGAGGGAACGGUGGGCGCAGGGGCAGGUCUCAAGGGAUAGCCAGGUGAUGGAGGCUCCUCUUGCUGCGGCAGAGUUGGGUUUGGGGAGAGGCUGAGCCUCAGUUUCCCCAUCUGCACUGGGGGGAGGCAUGCACAGAUGCCUCUGAAGCUCCUGCCGGGCCCUCCCCUGGGCCCUGAGGUUGGGCACCCUGCAGGAGCCCUGGGGUCCCUGGACACAGGCUCUGGCUGAGUCAGGAGAGGCGGCUUCCCUGGAUCCCAGCCCACAUCACAGGGAUGACUGGAAGGAGAGGCCCUGGGGUGCGGGCUCUACCUGCCCCCCCCCAUAAGUAAGGGGCACGAGAGCCCCAUGGAGCCUCAGACAGGUGCGGGGCUCCCUGGGGCGUACCCUGGUCCUGCCCUGCUCCUGAUUCCUGGAUGCCUGGGGCCGAGGAGCAGACGCGACAGCCAGCCAUGGGGACUCCUGGUGCGUGGGCAGGAGCCCUGUCUGCACCCUCCUCCUGUCUCAUUUCCUCCUCAAUGAGUCUGGCGCCCAGAACUGAGCCUGGCCUGAACUACUGGGUGCUGAAUGAGUGAGUGAACAGCGAGUGAGGAGUGAGCACAGGAAUGGUGAUGCUGAGACUGGAGCCCAGCCCUUCGUCUUCCUGCUAAAAUGGACACAGAACUCCUGCCACGGAAUUUGCAUUCCAGGGGGGAGGUGGGAAGACAAGGAACCAAUAAGACACCAGGGUCACUGGGUGAGGGUGCAGGGGGUGUGGUUGGAAACUCAGGCAUCAGGAAAGCCUCCUGAAGAGGCCAUGGCUCAGCAGAGACCUGGUACAGAAGGCUCCCUGGGCGGGUCUCCCCUGCUGCCUUGGGGCGUGACGCUGGCUCAGCAUCUAGGGCCUUGAGUCUUGAGGUGGCUGGGUGGGGAGGGAUGGGCCAGGGGUACAGGGGCUGAGCCAGCCAUGGGACUCCCCAUUCCAGCUGAGACUCACUGAUGCCUGUGGGUAAGUCCUGCCCUUUGCUGUGCCUCAGUUUCCCCACCUGCCCAGGGUGGGGUGGAUGAAAGGAUCUCUGAUGAAAGGAGGCAUCUGAAGGGAGUGGUGGGUUGAGAGCCGGGAUCGAGGGUCCUGGGGGCCUCACCAGGUGUGGGGAGAACAUCCUCCCUCUCUGGCCAACCCCACCCCAAGGAUCUUCCCAGGACUUGGGAGGUCCCUGGGGGCAUGGCAGGGAGCAGAGGUGGUCCCAGAGCCCUGUCCCUGCCCUGGGUGCCUGCAGUGUGCUCUGAGGCACCCGUGUGCUGCUGGGGUUUCCAGGGCAUUCUAAAGCACUCCCCAGGGCUCUUGGGACCAAGCAGAGGGUGCAGAGGGGGUGCCCCUUUCCCUUCAUUGGAAACCCCCUGGCAGUGCUGGGGGCAGGGGGUGUGAGUGCACGUGGGGGAGCGGGGUGGGGGCACCCUCUAAAAGGCCCCUGGGUGUGGGGAUGGGACCCUGUGCUGCUGGGUCUCAUGGGAGCUCCCAAGCCCCUGGUCCCACCAAACCCCCACCCUACCUCAGAGCACCAGGGUCUGUGGGGCUGGGCUGGUCGUCCCGGGUGAUGGUGGCCAGGGUGGACGCUGCCUCUGGGCGCUGCGAAGCUUUGCCGAUAGGGCAGUGGUCAGCCUCCACCCAGCCCUCGGACUUCACUCCUGCCCUGUUCCUUCCCCAGUGCCCAGGGUCUCCUCCCAGGGUCCCCUAGAAAUAGAAAUAGAUAGUGACCCCAAAGACACUGGUGACUGCCAGCCAGUCCUGCCCAAUGGGACCCCUCCCUGGGGAGAUCCAGGCAAACCUCGCUGCCCCAGGUGCCUGCAGCCCACGGAAAAGUGAACCUUCCAGUGGGGUCCCCGGCCUCCAGGGGUCCUGCUCCCACAUCAUGUGAGGUGGGCUCUCACAACCCUCCUCCCAAGACCAGAGGCACAAGGGGGCAGGGAAAACCGACACCUUCAUGUCCAGCAGAUGCCCUGAGGUUCAGUGGGGCAGGGUGGGGUCUGGGGCUGUGACCCUGGAGGAGGAUUUUGUGCCAAAGUCAGGACAGAGAAGGGGCUCCAGGUUAGCCUGGGCUGGGCAUCCAGCAAUCGGUACACUGGAGGCGGUGGUUCCUGUGUCCUUGAGGGCCCAGCCUUAGCACCUGAUGGGGACCUGCCUGGGGCCUAUGGAGAUGGACAAGCCCAUCAGGGUCGUGAUGGGUCUGAUUAGAUGGAAGCCCCCACCUUUAAUUGACUUUCCAGCUCAAAGAUGAAGGGGGCCAGAGGCAUGCCACGUGCAUCACAUGAGCCUCAGACUUUAAUGUGAUGUGACAGCCAGCGGGCAUGGGGGCCAGGGGCCGGACUCACCCAGUCGCUCCCCAUCCAGGAUGCCAGGGCUGGGUGGGUGCCUCUCACCAGUCCCAAGUGUGACUCUUAGGCACCAGGUGUGUGUAUGAGGGUCUGCUCUCCCAGGCCUGCCCUCCUGUCCCCCAGCUCGGGAGAUGGCCAUGGCUCCAGGGAAGGUGGAGUGGGGAGAACCCCGUCUGCACAGGAAGGUUGGGGUUUGAGGCUGAGCACAGUUUGCACAUGGGAGACCCUGGGCAAGGCCCUGUCCGUUUCUGAGCCCCAGGUCCCCACCUGUGAAAUGAGAGCAGGAGAUAGCCACUCCCACCCCGUCCCAGGACAGGUGGGGGUGGACACAGUGGGGGCCCCUGUGGGUGCUCACAAAAUGUCCCCCUUCUCACCCUGAUGGGGACUCAGCGACCCCCAGCCUCCUGGGAUUGGGGAAGGGUCACCUUCUGCAGAGACGUGCGCAGGGCUGUGCAGGUGGAAACCAGCCUGACCCAGCCCCAGGCAGAGGGUGGACACGCCCAGAAUGCACUGCUGGGAGGCGGGGUUUCCUUGAAGUGGCUGGGCCCCCUUUCCGUAGAAGCAGGAUCCCGCCUUUCCAUAGACGCUGGUUCCCCCUUUCCAUAGACGUAGGGUCCCCCCUUUUCAACAGAGACAGCCAGCGAGGCAGCAGGAAGCCCAAGUGCUAAAGCUCGUCCUGCUGGCAGGGGGCUAGGGACAGCAGCCAGGGAAUGAGGGGUCGUGAGGAGAGACAUGGAGCCUCUGCGAGGCUGGGGGCCACCCCCAUGGAGCCCGGCACCCAAGGCUGAUGCCCUGAGCCUGGCCUUGUAUCUCCUCCUUCUGGGGUCCCCCCGCUACACCCUGGCGACGCCCCAGUGCAAAGAGGAGGAGUACCCAGUGGGGACCGAGUGCUGCCCCAAAUGCAGUCCAGGUAGGUGCCGCCCCGAGGGACCUGCCCUGGGGGCCCCUGGGAGCCAGCGCUGUGGGGAGAUGCUCCAAUCUUCCCUGCCAGGAGCCCCUCCUUUCACAGCACUUCUCUAGGGGGAUAUGAAGCCCCCGGGGCAGGGGCACUGACGGGGAGGACCCGAGCCCCCAGGGCCGCCCCCCCAGCUUCGACACUUCCCACCAAGACUCUCACAGCCCUCUGCACAGGGG